AGUGAACGCUGGCGGUAGGCCUAACACAUGCCAGUCGAACGGCAGCACAGUAAGAGCUUGCUCUUACGGGUGGCGAGUGGCGGACGGGUGAGGAAUACAUCGGAAUCUACUUUUUCGUGGGGGAUAACGUAGGGAAACUUACGCUAAUACCGCAUACGACCUACGGGUGAAAGCAGGGGAUCUUCGGACCUUGCGCGAUUGAAUGAGCCGAUGUCGGAUUAGCUAGUUGGCGGGGUAAAGGCCCACCAAGGCGACGAUCCGUAGCUGGUCUGAGAGGAUGAUCAGCCACACUGGAACUGAGACACGGUCCAGACUCCUACGGGAGGCAGCAGUGGGGAAUAUUGGAUAAUGGGCGCAAGCCUGAUCCAGCCAUACCGCGUGGGUGAAGAAGGCCUUCGGGUUGUAAAGCCCUUUUGUUGGGAAAGAAAAGCAGCAGGUUAAUACCCCGCUGUUCUGACGGUACCCAAAGAAUAAGCACCGGCUAACUUCGU
Molecule: ribosomal RNA, 491 nt
Filed under: uncultured bacterium
Lineage: Bacteria
Description: partial 16S ribosomal RNA
Rfam family: Bacterial small subunit ribosomal RNA
Source: RNAcentral